This 443-nucleotide ribosomal RNA is filed under the name uncultured bacterium. RNAcentral's name for it is "partial 16S ribosomal RNA". It matches the Rfam family "Bacterial small subunit ribosomal RNA", at positions 338 to 795 of the family's 1533-position model. The record is from RNAcentral.
CCUACGGGCGGCAGCAGUGGGGAAUAUUGGGCAAUGGGCGCAAGCCUGACCCAGCAACGCCGCGUGAAGGAAGAAGGCUUUCGGGUUGUAAACUUCUUUUCUCAGGGACGAAGCAAGUGACGGUACCUGAGGAAUAAGCCACGGCUAACUACGUGCCAGCCGCCGCGGUCAUACGUCGGUGGCAAGCGUUUUCCGGAUUUACUGGGUGUAAAGGUCGUGUAGGCGGGAAAGCAAGUCAGAUGUGAAAACCAUGGGCAGAACCUGUGGCCUGCAUUUGAAACUGUUUUUCUUGAGUACUGGAGAGGCUGACGGAAUUCCUAGUGUAGAGGUGAAAUGCGUAGAUAUUAGGAGGAACACCAGUGGCGAAGGCGGUCUGCUGGACAGCAACUGACGCUGAGGCGCGAAAGCGUGGGGAGCAAACAGGAUUAGAUACCCUAGUAGUC